This is a long non-coding RNA of Protopterus annectens (West African lungfish), 482 nucleotides long. RefSeq lists it as uncharacterized. The transcript is spliced from 3 exons. NCBI's taxonomy places the organism in Eukaryota, Metazoa, Chordata, Ceratodontiformes, Protopteridae. The record is from RefSeq and is a predicted model, not a curated record.
UUGAAGCAAGAGCCUGAACUGAGCAUACAGCAUUGCCUGCCAGUGUCGGCCCUGUCUUGACUGAACAGAUAGCUGUACUGAAUAGGUUUGGAGUCCCCCUAUCAGUGGCACAGAUGAUUCUCUUUUUGCAUAUGCUUAGAAUGCCUUCUGCCUUCUAACGUCUACAGAGCUCAGUAGGCAACUCAUCACCAUGGUGCUGAAAGCUGGUGCUGACUAGAAGAUGGCAGUCUCCAGUGCAAAGCUUGAAAAGCUAACUUCACAGUAACUGGAAAAAGAUACCUUGGCAAGUUUAAUGAAAAGCAGAGGCUAUAUAAGAUGCAUCCCCGAGAGGAAUUCUUUCAAGAUAAGGUUUUGACAGUUGCAGAAGAAUAUCAGAAGUGAUAAGAGGUUUGAGUAAAUUUGCUCUCAAAAUGGCAAAUUAGUCAUGGGGUGGAGGUUUGUUCUGAUCUGCUCAGAAAGAAAUAAAAUUGAUUUCAUGUUGA